This 553-nucleotide long non-coding RNA is filed under the name Drosophila guanche. The record is from RNAcentral. Lineage: Eukaryota; Metazoa; Arthropoda; Insecta; Diptera; Drosophilidae.
CGAGGACGAGGACGAGGACAAGGACAAGGGCGAGACAAGCCUUUUGUCCUGCGUGUCCUGCUGCCUUUUCAAUAUGAAUAUGCAGAUAUGUUCAUAGAACAUACGUAGAACAUCCUCGUAUGGUUGGAUCUUCUCGAUCCUAUCCCUCAAUCUGCUUGUCUGUUUGUAUGCAAAGUGUUGACCUCGUCAGGGUAAUCGUUCCAUUAUUAACGGAUAUUCGCCCUCGAACAAUGUCACAGUCGUGCUGGCUGAUGGCUGAUCCGUUGGAGACCGACAGACAACCAAUACGGUACUAAGAACAACGCUAUUUUGCGUACCUGCCCAGGAUUAGACGGACUCGGCAAUGGCAGGCUAACAACACUUUCGAGGGCGGUGGAGGUGGAGCGACCGAGUUACGCCAACCCCUGCCAUACCCUGUGGUACUUCUUCCUGUCAGUUCUCUGGCAACUAACUAUGAGAGGAUAUCAGACAUCGUAGAAUAAAGUAUAGUAAUUUUCCACCUCAAAUAUUACGUAAACUUGUAUGCAUUAUUUGAUUUGCAAUAUUUCCAAAA